UCAUGCUUCGGGCGGGGAAAAAAGACAGAGAAUUGGAUUUUUUUUCUUCAUAGGAUUUUGGGAAGACUGAGGCAAUCGUUACUGAAGUCAGUGUUGUAAUGGUGAAUCGGGAUUUUUAAUGAAGUGGGUUUGAUUACUCUUGACUGUUUUGUGAAAUCGAGUUACGUUUGUGAUGAAGAGUUAAAAGGGUGUCUAUAGGAUUGUGUAUGCGGAGUGAAUGAAAUUUAUUGGGUUAAUCUAACAAGACAGUCAGUGGAUACAAGAUCGUGAGUAUAAAGCGGUAUCGAAGAUUAGUAGUUUGGGUUGUUCGGGGUUC
Molecule: long non-coding RNA, 316 nt
Filed under: Physcomitrium patens
Lineage: Eukaryota; Viridiplantae; Streptophyta; Bryopsida; Funariales; Funariaceae
Description: long non-coding RNA (PPAT_LNC002456)
Source: RNAcentral